This 1821-nucleotide long non-coding RNA is filed under the name Bos indicus x Bos taurus (hybrid cattle). RNAcentral describes it as "lncRNA (ENSBIXG00000029559.1)". The record is from RNAcentral. Lineage: Eukaryota; Metazoa; Chordata; Mammalia; Artiodactyla; Bovidae.
AUGGGGAGCCCGCCCCUCAGAAGGCCGGGAGCCCCGCCCCUGGGCCGUACCUUGCUGGUUGCCUGCUGUGGAGUGGCCGGCUCCACCUGGAAGGGGACAAGCGCACAGUCACAUGGUAUUCGGAAGAGCUGGUCACGGGCUGCCUACUGCUGGGAGGCGGGCAUUACACGUCCAAGCAGGGGAGGGGACGGGGGUGAGGCUGUCACCUCAGGGUGUAGGGAUACACACAAAGGCGUACACAAGAAGCAUGCACACACACCCAUAUACACACACGCGCACAUACACACCCACACCCACACCCAUAUACACAUAUGCACACACACCCAUAUACACACAUGCACACACACACCCAUAUACACACGCGCGCACACACACCCAUAUACACACAUGCACACACACACACCCAUAUACACACAUGCACACACACACACCCAUAUACACACAUGCACACACACACACCCAUAUACACAUACGCACACACACACUCAUAUACACACACGCACACACACACACCCAUAUACACACACGCGCACACACACCCAUAUACACACAUGCACACACACGCACACACCCACCCCCAUAUACACACACGCGCACCCACACACCCACCCCCAUAUACACACACGUGCACACACACACACACACCCAUAUACACACACGCGCACACACACACCCAUAUACACACACGCACACACACACACCCAUAUACACACACGCGCACACACACCGAUAUACACACAUGCACACACACCCACACACCCACCCCCAUAUACACACACGCGCACACACACACACACACCCAUAUACACACAUGCACACACACACACACCCAUAUACACACACACGCACACACACACACCCAUAUACACACACGCGCACACACACACACCCAUAUACACACACGCGCACACACACACCCAUAUACACACACGCACACACACCCACCCCCAUAUACACACACGCGCACACACAGAUAUACACACAUGCACACACACCCCCAUAUACACACACGUGCACACACACACACACCCAUAUACACACAUGUGCGCACACAUAUCACACACACACAAUACACACCCAUAUACACAUAUGCGCACAAACAUCACCCCCACACACAAUAUCCCCCACACACAACACACACCCAUAUACACGUGUGCACAAACAUCCCCACACAUACACCCAUAUACACACAUGCACACACACACAACAUCCCACACACACAACACACACCCAUAUACAUGUGUGUUCAUACAUGCAAUACACAUACAUCCCAUACACACACACAACGCAUUGACACACCCAUAUGCACGAAUGUACAUACAUGCAACACCACACACAACACACACCCAUAUACACACAUGCACACAUAUCCCACAUACAACACACACUUAUACACACAUGCACACACCACACCCAUAUACACACAUGUACAUACACUCAACACACACAACACCCCACAACACACAUCCAUACACAUACACACAGCCCACACACAUGAACAUACAUGCAACCCCCCCACACAUACAUGCACACACACAAAACACACCACCACACAUGCAACAACCCACAUACAUACAGACACGCACAUACAACACACGGACACACCCAUAUGCAUACAUGCACAUCUGCGUAUACACAUAUGCACACAUGUACAACACAAGCACACGUCCACACACACACAUCGGCACAGCCGUGUGUGCACACAGGCAGGCGUGCACACUAGCAUCACAGGCACUGUGCCUGUGUGGACAUGACCGUGGACACACACGUGCAUAUCUCCACAUGUGUGUGCGCAGUACACGCCCGCACAUGUACACAUGA